Molecule: ribosomal RNA, 449 nt
Filed under: uncultured bacterium
Lineage: Bacteria
Description: partial 16S ribosomal RNA
Rfam family: Bacterial small subunit ribosomal RNA
Source: RNAcentral
AACGAACGCUGGCGGCAGGCCUAACACAUGCAAGUCGAACGCCGUAGCAAUACGGAGUGGCAGACGGGUGAGUAACGCGUGGGAACCUACCUUACGGUCGGGAAUAGCUCAGGGAAACUUGGGGUAAUACCGGAUACGACCUUACGGGGACAGAUUUAACGCCGUUAGAGGGGCCCGCGUAGGAUUAGCUAGUUGGUGAGGUAAUGGCUCACCAAGGCGACGAUCAUUAGCUGGCCUGAGAGGAUGAUCAGCCACACUGGGACUGAGACACGGCCCAGACUCCUACGGGAGGCAGCAGUGGGGAAUAUUGGACAAUGGGCGAAAGCCUGAUCCAGCCAUGCCGCGUGAGUGACGAAGGCCUUCGGGUUGUAAAGCUCUUUUGGCGGGGAAGAUAAUGACGGUACCCGCAGAAUAAGCUCCGGCUAACUUCGUGCCAGCAGCCGCCGUAA